This is a non-coding RNA of Paramisgurnus dabryanus, 625 nucleotides long. The record is from RefSeq and is a predicted model, not a curated record. NCBI's taxonomy places the organism in Eukaryota, Metazoa, Chordata, Actinopteri, Cypriniformes, Cobitidae.
UGUUAACUUUUGUUCGAGCCUGUCUAGAUCUUUUAUCAGUCUAGAAAGAUGUUGGAGAAAAGACAUCAUCCUCUUCUAUAAUCUCCAUCUGUAAUUGGACUAACAACUGGACCAGUGAAUGCAGGUCACACCAUGGUCUCACGAGUGAAAAUGAGUGCUCUGGAUUGAACAGAAAAGGUGAAUCAAAACUCCAACCAUCUGUAUGAGGGUCUGGAAAAAGGAUGCCCCCUGGAGCUGGAAAUGAUGGAUCAGGUGGAUCCACACUUGAACCAUCUGUAUGAUGAUCUGCACCCACUGGAUCUGUAAAUGGUGGUGCAGGUUUCUGAAUUGAUGUCAGAUGCAAAGCAGAAGCUUAUUUUCUUCCAGUUUGGCUUCAUUGUGGAAAAAUGCUGGAAACUAAAAUGCAGACCUUAUUCAAAUCAUCAGCUCAUUAGUAGAGAUCUUCAUGAACUGAACUGAGGCUGUGUCCAAAUGUUCACACUUGUUGUCUUUGCACUAGACUACUUACAUUACCUUUUUUUAGUAUUCUAGUGGGCGUGAAGAUCCCAAGCGUGCAUGUAGAAUUAUUCACCAUAUGGGACACACUUAGCAUUUGUAAAAAUGUCAAUCCAGGUAGUGCCAGCAA